Molecule: long non-coding RNA, 900 nt
Filed under: Zonotrichia albicollis (white-throated sparrow)
Lineage: Eukaryota; Metazoa; Chordata; Aves; Passeriformes; Passerellidae
Description: lncRNA (ENSZALG00000011066.1)
Source: RNAcentral
AGAAGGACUCACCAUCCCUGUGCUCUUGCUUCAGAAGUACUGAGGAGCAUAACACCUCUGCAUUGAGGUGAUGUCAAAACCAUCCGUGAUCUUCUGGUGCUUGAAAAACAAGUUUCAUAGCACUUCAUCUUUAAAGCCUGAGGGAGCUCUUGGCUACACAGGAGAGCUCUCCUGCAUUUCUGCCACCAAAGGCAGUGCUAUGCAGAAGGACAGCUGGGGUCCUGCCUGCCUGUGAACAGCUCAAAAGCUGAGCUCCAGAGGAGUUGGUGCCUUCAAGAAGUGAGAUGUCAGCUCAGCCUGCACCCAGCAUCUGCUUAUGAUGUGAUUUGGUACAAGGUGUUCAUGCCCUGCUUCCUAUUGCGGCAUGUGUCCGACCGCCAGUGAUCUCUCUGACCCGGCUGGCAGCAGAGUGGCUGGAGACGGGCUGCAACGCGUGCUGGAGGAUGCAGGCACCCAACGUGGGGCACUGGAGAGCACCAGCCCCCCAGCAAACGUGGGGUACUGAGGACAGCUCAGAGAGAUUACCUGUGUGAGGCCCAAGAACACCGCGGGCUUUGGUACUCGGGAGCGAGGUUUUGUGAGGAUCAGCAGAGAAGAGAGGGGAUAGAGAAAUGCUACCAGGAUCCAUUUCCUUUUCAUUAUUUGAGCUUUGUAAAAGCAGUGUGGAGGCCAAGGCAAGAGGAGGCCAGUAGGAGCUCCCCAGAUAUGGCUGGAGUUGCUGCCCUGGUUGUACACUCUCUGCAAGGAGCAGUCCUUCUGUGACUGCACCAUCUUCAUUGGGAAUGUGCAUUUUAGAAUGCUCAAAAUGGUUUUGGCUCUUGCCAGCCUGCUGUUUAAAUCCGUGUUGGACAGCACAGAUACCAUCUCCAAUUGAUGCUUCUGUGGUAACACCUUAGGAGU